CUGGAACGCGCCCCAGGCGCACCCAGAAACCCUUUGUGAACUUAUACCUUACUGUUGCCUCGGCGCUAGCUGGUCCUCCGGGGCCCCUCCUUCUGGAGGAGCAGGCACGCCGGCGGCCAACCCAACUCUUGUUUUUACACUGAAACUCUGAGAAUAAAACAUAAAUGAAUCAAAACUUUCAACAACGGAUCUCUUGGUUCUGGCAUCGAUGAAGAACGCAGCGAAAUGCGAUAAGUAAUGUGAAUUGCAGAAUUCAGUGAAUCAUCGAAUCUUUGAACGCACAUUGCGCCCUCUGGUAUUCCGGAGGGCAUGCCUGUUCGAGCGUCAUUUCAACCCUCAAGCCUGGCUUGGUGAUGGGGCACUGCUUCUUACCCAAGGAGCAGGCCCUGAAAUUCAGUGGCGAGCUCGCCAGGACCCCGAGCGCAGUAGUUAAACCCUCGCUCUGGAAGGCCCUGGCGGUGCCCUGCCGUUAAACCCCCAACUUCUGAAAAU
This 492-nucleotide ribosomal RNA is filed under the name Diaporthe sp. Lc004. Its description in RNAcentral is "eukaryotic LSU rRNA". The stretch from base 174 to 327 matches the Rfam family "5.8S ribosomal RNA". The record is from RNAcentral. Lineage: Eukaryota; Fungi; Ascomycota; Sordariomycetes; Diaporthales; Diaporthaceae.